This 472-nucleotide ribosomal RNA is filed under the name Streptococcus gordonii. RNAcentral's name for it is "bacterial SSU rRNA". It matches the Rfam family "Bacterial small subunit ribosomal RNA", at positions 28 to 474 of the family's 1533-position model. Lineage: Bacteria; Bacillati; Bacillota; Bacilli; Lactobacillales; Streptococcaceae. The record is from RNAcentral.
GACGAACGCUGGCGGCGUGCCUAAUACAUGCAAGUAGAACGCACAGUAUAUACCGUAGCUUGCUACACCAUAGACUGUGAGUUGCGAACGGGUGAGUAACGCGUAGGUAACCUGCCUGGUAGCGGGGGAUAACUAUUGGAAACGAUAGCUAAUACCGCAUAAUAUUGAUUAUUGCAUGAUAAUUGAUUGAAAGAUGCAACUGCAUCACUACCAGAUGGACCUGCGUUGUAUUAGCUAGUAGGUGAGGUAACGGCUCACCUAGGCGACGAUACAUAGCCGACCUGAGAGGGUGAUCGGCCACACUGGGACUGAGACACGGCCCAGACUCCUACGGGAGGCAGCAGUAGGGAAUCUUCGGCAAUGGACGAAAGUCUGACCGAGCAACGCCGCGUGAGUGAAGAAGGUUUUCGGAUCGUAAAGCUCUGUUGUAAGAGAAGAACGGGUGUGAGAGUGGAAAGUUCACACUGUGACG